RNAcentral lists this ribosomal RNA (325 nucleotides) under uncultured Bacteroidota bacterium. RNAcentral describes it as "bacterial SSU rRNA". It matches the Rfam family "Bacterial small subunit ribosomal RNA", at positions 28 to 351 of the family's 1533-position model. Lineage: Bacteria; Pseudomonadati; Bacteroidota. The record is from RNAcentral.
GAUUAACGCUAGCGGCAGGCCUAACACAUGCAAGUCGAGGGGUAACAGGUGUAGCAAUACAUGCUGACGACCGGCGCACGGGUGAGUAACGCGUAUGCAACCUACCUUUAACAGGAAGAUAGCCCCGAGAAAUCGGGAUUAAUACUCCAUAAUGAUUAAGAAUCGCAUGGUUUUUAAUUAAAGUUCCGACGGUUAAAGAUGGGCAUGCGUGACAUUAGUUAGUUGGUGAGGUAACGGCUCACCAAGGCGACGAUGUCUAGGGGUUCUGAGAGGAUUUUCCCCCACACUGGUACUGAGACACGGACCAGACUCCUACGGGUGGCUG